Molecule: small nuclear RNA, 107 nt
Filed under: Jaculus jaculus (lesser Egyptian jerboa)
Lineage: Eukaryota; Metazoa; Chordata; Mammalia; Rodentia; Dipodidae
Source: RNAcentral
GUGCUCACUUUGGCAACACAUAUACUAAAAUUGGAAUGAUACAGAGAAGAUUAGCAUACCCCCUGUGCAAGGAUGAUACACAAAUUUGUGAAGUGUUCCAUACUUUC